ACUUGUCAAGUAUAUGCAGGGAUGGCCGAGUGGUCUAAGGCGCCAGACUCAAGCAAAGCUUGCCCAGGUUCGGGUAUUCUGGUGGGCGUAUGCCCGCGUGGGUUCGAAUCCCACUUCCUGCAAAUA
Meloidogyne enterolobii is the source of this 126-nucleotide non-coding RNA. The record is from the annotation of a GenBank genome assembly. NCBI's taxonomy places the organism in Eukaryota, Metazoa, Nematoda, Chromadorea, Rhabditida, Meloidogynidae.